CUUUUUGAAUUAUUUUAAAAGUCUAACCUGCCCACUGAAUAAAUUUAAAUGGCCGCAGUAUACUAACUGUGCAAAGGUAGCAUAAUCAUUAGUCUUUUAAUUGAAGGCUGGUAUGAAUGGUUGGACGAGAUAUUAACUGUUUCAUAUGAAUUUAUAUUAGAAUUUUAUUUUUUAGUCAAAAAGCUAAAAUAUUAUUAAAAGACGAGAAGACCCUAUAAAUCUUUAUAUAUAAGUUGUUAAAAUUUUGUAGAUUUUUUUUAUUAUAAUAACUGAUUAUAUUUUAUUGGGGUGAUAUUAAAAUUUAAUGAACUUUUAAUUAUUAAUACCAUUGAUUUAUGAAUAAUUGAUCCGUUAAUAACGAUUAAAAAAACAAGUUACUUUAGGGAUAACAGCGUAAUUUUUUUGGAGAGUUCAUAUCGAUAAAAAAGAUUGCGACCUCGAUGUUGGAUUAAGAUAUAAUUUUAGGUGUAGCUGCUUAAAUUUUAAGUCUGUUCGACUUUUAACAUCUUACGUGAUCUGAGUUCA
Molecule: ribosomal RNA, 525 nt
Filed under: Sarcophagidae sp. BAHAR085-14
Lineage: Eukaryota; Metazoa; Arthropoda; Insecta; Diptera; Sarcophagidae
Description: partial 16S ribosomal RNA
Rfam family: Bacterial large subunit ribosomal RNA
Source: RNAcentral